CCGCAUCCGCAUACGCCUACACGCGCCCUUUUGAGCUGUGCAGCCGCACUUGGUGAUUUGAUACCGCCUACGUCCCCCCCCUCAUACACACACAAGGUACGCACAGGGAGAGGGAGAGCAAGAGAGCCGACGCAGGUGAAGAAGGACAGCCGUGCACGCAUCGGGGUGCCGACAACAGAGGAAAGGACACCGACGCCUUUGCCCGUUUCUUUUUUUUUUCGCUUCCUUCCCUCCUCUCUCCCUCCUCUCCGUUGUCGAGCUGGCAGUCGUGGUUGGGGCUUCUGUGGUAGGGGGGGGGGCGGAACUGUGUCGACACGCACCGCUUGGGCUUUCUCCGACCUGUGGCGGUGCGCACUGCCCUUUUCUCUCCAUCUACACGCCAUCCUUGAUGCACGCAACAUCACAAAGGACCCUGCGUUACACCGCAAUAUGUCGUCAAGCCCAUCGUCGCCGGUGCACAGCUCACCCGCGUCUACCGGCUUCGCUGCUCCUUACCUGCCUUCCUUCACGCGCCGCUACUUUCGCCUUUCUCAGUCUGCCUUUGUCAUCUCCGACUACCUUGUGCGCAAGUUCCGCCUCACUGAGAGCGUCCUGCUAACGUCGCUGUGCUACUGGCACGAGUUUGUCGCCGCGCACGGGCUGCGCAAAGCCAACGAGAUCGUGCUGGCCACCACGUGCGUCUUCCUCGCUGCGAAGGUGGAGCAUGCGCACAUACGGCUGGCGCGCCUAGUGGAGGCUGCGUUUGACCUCGAUGUGAACACGACUGCUCCAGCAGAGCUGGAGCAGUGGUGCCGUGCCGUGCUGGACGUGGAGCUGGUGUUGUGCGAUACCAUCGGCUUUGACUUUGUGCGCAUCUUCCCCCUUGCUGACACUCUGCGAUCGGUGCAGACCCUGGCUGAGGCGGGGCAGCUGCAGGACGCCGCACGGCAGGAGAUUGGCACGGCAGUGCGACGCGUCUUUCUUUUCUCCUUUGUCACACCGCUCUGCAUCAAGGUGUCGAUGCAGCGACUCUGCACGUCAAUCCUCUAUAUGAUCGUGACGGCAGCGCGCAGGGAGCUGGUGACGGCUUUUCAGUCCAUCUGGAGUGCCCCAGAGGCCGAGUUUCCCGAUGAGGCGGAGCUGGAGGGGAUUACGGCCGUGCUCAUGGACGUCUUCGCGUACCUGCACAAGAAGUUCGGCGUGCCGGCACUGGACGACGUCAACGAGGCGCGAUACAAGCGCUGCCGAUCGCAGCAUGGUAACGAUGCUGGUGUCGCGAGCUCCGUCUUUAGCAGCGCCAGCGCCGACUUUACACCACUCAUGAAGAUGUCGGAGCAGUGAGUGGCCUGCCCGAGGUAACUUUUCGACUGCAAGAGAGAACAGCAAAGAAAGCGGCUUUCGCAGUCUGAUGGACUGGAACUUGACUUCUUGUGAGGUGCGCCGAACUCUCUGUCCGCUGCUCGUGGCCACUCACGGUGGAAAGGCCGAAGGGAGAGCAGCAUUGGGGGGGGUUUCAUGGUGUAUAUGUGUGCGGACUCGUAUUUGCCCCCUGCUUUCUCCCUUUUCUGUCUCUUGGUCUAGUACACCGGUGCGAUGACGGCGUCAGAGUCGGUCUCUUGUUUCCUCUUCACAAUUGUGCCCAUUAGCACAUACUGUGCACCUGCGCUUGCGAGUGACUGCUACUAUGCUUCUCCAGAAAGGAAAAAAGGGGGCGAACAUGAACAAGGACGGUGCCACGCAAGACGUCGCUAAGCCUUGGCAGCGGGGGGGGGGCUCGGGUAGCGCUGCUGCCGAGAG
This 1776-nucleotide unclassified non-coding RNA is filed under the name Leishmania donovani. RNAcentral describes it as "gene:LdHU3.32.1000(CDS-product:cyclin_9_putative)". The record is from RNAcentral. Lineage: Eukaryota; Euglenozoa; Kinetoplastea; Trypanosomatida; Trypanosomatidae.